Molecule: long non-coding RNA, 5390 nt
Organism: Helianthus annuus (common sunflower)
Lineage: Eukaryota; Viridiplantae; Streptophyta; Magnoliopsida; Asterales; Asteraceae
Exons: 14
Source: RefSeq, a predicted model, not a curated record
CAAACCCUUUUCCUUUAUUCUCCUUGCUCUUCAAUCCAUCUUCUACCGUUUUCUCUCUCAUCUACAAUUCAUCUUCGACCGCUAUAAUCAACAAAAUAAUCGACUGGAUUUAUCUCUUCCGCUUCAUUAUUUCAACAUCUUCAUCGCAAACAAGAAGGCGAUUCUCAUCAAAAAGAUUAUCACAAACCCUAAAUCGGAACCAGUCGAACGCUAAUCCAGAAGAUAUAUUGAGCAUCAUGUUCCUUGAUUCGCCCGUUAAGAAAGGAUCACUCUAUUACUAGGACACACUACUACCUAUACGCCAAAGGUGGGUCCAUGAUUGACGUUUUGAAGGCAGGACAUUUGGGGUGAUAUCAAGACAGCUUGUGCCAUUGCGUGACCCAUUUUAAUAUAUUUGCCCAGGAUUGAGAAACGGAUGAAAGUUUGUGAUCCUUACUUUUACCCCAAACAACCAUAUAAAGUCCCACAACUACAACAACCGGUCCAAGAACCCUGUAAGAAUAUAAAAUUAGCGGUCAUUGUAUGUUUGAGUAAAUAAGCAAGAACUCCCUAGGUAUGUUUUCUCAGCUAGAAUAAUGGAUAUCAUGAUUGUGGCAUUUAGAAUUGCAAUUAUGAGAUUUGAUUGCGUUUACCUUGAUAAUAUGAAUGUAAAUUGAAGUGAUGAUGAUAAAUUCACCAUAUCUUGAAUCAGUUAAUAUAUGAUUGGGAUAUUUAACUGUGUUUAGGAAGAUUUGGACAGUUUCAACGAUAUUUUUUAAAAGGUAUUACGAUUGAUUAGCAAAUAUGUUCAUAUCUGUAUGUAAAUCGGUCUAAUUGGUAUGAAAAUAUUUGACCAAACAGUUUGGUUUCGAAGGUCAUGUGAUGAGAAUCGUUCUCGAUUUAAUCGAGCAUAGGGUUUAAUCGUAUGUAACUUUGCUGGUUUUGGUCAGGAGAAUUUUAUACAUACUGACUAUCAGACAUCCAAUGUUAUCGUGCUUAAUCAUGUUAAAAAAAUCAUUUCAGGAGUCAUAUCAAGAGCCCUUAUGGACAUAUGUGAUGUUUUCGAGGCCGUUGAUCAAAGUAGCUUCUUAUAGGAGACAAUUAUUAGCAUGGCUUUACUUGGCACAAUGAUUGGAGCUGCAGCCGGUGGGUGGUUAAACGAUGUGCAAGGACGCAAAAGUGCUAUGCUAAUUGCUGAUGUUAUAUUUACAGUUGGAUCUUUUGUGAUGGCGGCUGGACUUGAUCCAUAUGUGCUUAUAUUUGGUCCAACCAGUUUCAACUCUGGAAUGUUUCUGUUUGAGUUUCCUGUUAAAAAUCGAUGAACACACAGAGAUUCUAUUCUCUACUUAAAGAAUGUGAUGGAAAUGAACAUCGGUAUUGUUUGAAGAUUAAAAAAUGAAGUUUUGGUUGGGUAGCAAAAAUUUUAGACCAGUUUGUAAAGCUCAGAUAUUCACUAGCGAAGCAGUUUCUAUUAUAAAGUUCUUGAAACUGAUUCCAAACAAGGCCAGAAAGAGUUCCAGACAGAGUUGGGCAAUGAAGUGUUUCAAGUCCACUAUGUGAUCGGGCCCACUCCUAGCUGACGUUACGGUUUUGAACCAUUAGUCGAACCACCUAUUACAUCUGGUAAGUAUAAUUACAUUAUGAGCUUCCAUGCUAAUAUAAAUAAAAUUUAGAAGGUAAAUUGAAAUUGUUCAUUUUGUUCAUAUUUUGCACUAAAUUCACUGAUGUUGGAUUUUGGAGCUUUAAUCGGCCGGAAAUCGGAUGCCAAUUUAGUUUAUACCUUAAAAGCCCGCCGCAGCACGCUGACGCGUCUACUAUUACUCUUACUGUUACAAUUACUAUUACACAAGUUUGAUAAACAAUAGCAGCACCCCAUUGUGGGCCAUGGGGUGCUACAUGUGCAUCUCUUUGACCUGCAUUUCACCCGGGAUAAUCUAGAUUGUUUGAAUUACACAUGGAAAUUUCGAAUUUCAUCGUGGGAAAAGUUGUUAGAAUUGGAAUCAAGUUUGUUAGAUUGGAUCUGUUCACUGAAAUUGCUGGAAACUGAAUUCGCUUAAUAUUGCAUCCGAUUUGAUAGUUCACUACUUUGGUUUACAUUGUUGUGUUUAUUUAGAGUUUAUUGAGCUAUAGUUGCAUAUCAUGGAUUUGAGGUAAAAUUAGUCUGGUAUGUUACUAUAUUGCGGUAGCAAAAUGCUUUUUCAGUCAAAUUUUAAAAAAGUUUAAAAUAGACGGGUUAAAUGGGUCGAGUUGACCCGUAACACUUUCCGCUCAAAUGUUGUAGGUUUGGUAAAAAAGUAUUUACUGUCAAAUUUGGUUACAAAAUUCCGUUAUUUUAGUAACCUUAUAAUUUUUAAACAAAUAGUUUUAUAUUUUUUGUUUUAAAUUUACACUUUGGUCCACUAUUGUCCCGUAGUUAUCCAACUUUCUUUCCUUGAACCUGUUAGAGAUACAUGUAAGAGAUGAGAUAGAGAUGAGAUAGAGGAACUGAUGGAUGAUGAGGGAGAUAUGGCUAAAAUGUGUUUGAUUGAGAAGAAAAAGGCGUAUGGGGUCAUUAUUCUGCGGUGCAGAUCAAUCUUUGGCAGGACACAAAUCAAUGAAUGGGAUUCAAUCUUUGGCAGAAACAUCUCGGCAACGACAAACCCCAGCCACUCGGUAUAUGCAAGGACAAAGACGCGAAGCCUCAAGUGUGGGAAUAUGUCAAACCUUUAAAAGGGUAGGCGGUUGAAUCUUUACACCAUAGAAGAUGAUGGACAAGGUGUUCUUACAUCUUGGAUCACUUAAAUUCAAUUGCUUAUAUGCACGUUUUAGAGCGUUUGUGGUAAAUUUUGGCGAUACGCUUGAACAAUGGAGCAAUGGUGUUUUCAGGUAUAAGUUAAUCUUUGGUUUUAUAGCUGAUGAUAGUUCUUUGAAUUUCAAAAAAGACGUCUAUUGUAGAGAACUUAACUUAAAAAAUUGACCUAUAGGAAAAAAAACAUAAAAUUUAAAUAGGAAUCCAUGAAAUUUUGACUCUUUAAACUAAAGUUUGACUCAAAAAGUCAAAUGGAUUUGGUUUUACAUGUCAACAUUGCAUAGAGUAUUCUUCGGCAACGGAGUUGGUAAUAUGCUGGUGAUUGCUGCUCUGCUCUGAUGACUUGCUGAGAGUGUGAAUUCAGUUUCUAAAAAUUAAAAGGAUCAUGGGGUUGGUGAGGUAAUUUCAUUCUAUUGAUGUAGAAUUGCCUAAGGCUUUACACAAUCAAUAUUUUCUUUCAGUUAUUUACAUUCUAACUUUAUGUUGGAAGGGAUCUCUUUUAUUUCCAAUGAUGUUCUUUGUUGUAGUUGAAACCAAGAUUUUUUUGAGUCUAAGAAUGGAAGGUUAGUCAGUCCUACUUUAAUAUGGUUAGUUAUGAUUUAAGGAUGGUUUUGAAUAGAGAAUUUGCUAGGUGCUUAAGAAAAAGAAAAAAAAAAUCAUAUUUAACAAAUCUUGAGCAACAAGUGUGUACAUAUGAACAAUGCUUACCUGAAUUAUAUUUUUCAUUAUAUAAGUAGUAAACACCAUUUGGUUCUAUAUAUAGAUUUAGUUUCUGUCUCAUCUCAAACUGGUCAAACUAGAAGUACUUAUAGAUAUUUAAAGGAUUGUCUCUUUUUGUUUUAUAUGUAUGGUGAUAGUAUAUUUUGCGAACUUUUACAAUACCUUGACAUUUUGUGACAUUUGGUUCAGAUUUACAUGAAAUCUGUUCAAUAUUUAGCCAAGGGUACUGAAAAUCUAAAUUGAAAUCGGUGCAAUUUCAAAUGUAACACUUCGUCAGCCUAACUCUUCUGACUCUCCUAGAGGUACCUUAACAUAUGAGGUUGAUUUGAAAUCCUUUCGUUGUUGGGUGCAUUUACGUAAAAUAACAAUGGUGGAACAAAAAGGUAUGUCUUGUGGGUUGAGCUUUACUUUGGUAGGUCCUGAACAAGUUUGGUGGAGAUCUUGCUGGUAUACUGGUAGUUGCCGAUGACAUCCAGGCUGAACAAAAUCAAGCAAAUACAAUGAUAUCGUGUUAUGCUUCGUCAUCAAAACCGGCUCAGGUACCGCCAUCAUUGGCAAAAACUCAUUGGCAAAGAUAUCAUACCUUUUUCAGGCUUACAAACUUGAUGAAGACAUUAAGGAAAAAUGUGGGAUUAGUAAGCAAUUUUAAUUAAGGAUAUGUGUAGGAUGGUGAGAAAAGUACCUGGCGUUGUUUCAAUUGAUUACACUCUUACACCGGGGCACUUGUACCCUGUGUAAUAUGCCGAUUGCUUUUGUUUGCUAAGGUUUUUCAAUGUUGCAGAGAGUUUGUCUAAAUCGUUACUAGAACGUGCUAAUCUUUCAAGUAUAUGGGUGAACUGUACCACGUGGCUUUUAGCGCUGGAACUGAGUUGGAUGAAAAUGGUUUUUGCUGAAGUUACUUUUGAAUAAAUUAGACAUACUUUCAAGAAAUACUCCAAAUUUGCAUUUUUGUUACAGAUUCGAGACUACAUGUAGCUUACAUGGAUCUUGAAAUGAAUCAACCAAUUGUAGAAAGUUAUUACCCCGUAUGUUUUUUAUUUGCAUAUAACAAUGAGGUAUGCGUUUAAUCCAGCCAUACAAUUACUAUAGAUUUAGACAUGGGUAGGGUGGGUUGCGUAAUGAGUCAAGACGAUUCAUUAUCAUAUGCGGGUCGGAGCAAAUCGGGUUGAGCCGAACAUUUUUUUGUCCCAAUUUUUUGAAGUUUUAUAAUCUAUAUUUUGUUACAGUAGUAAUAUAGUUUCACUAUUGAAUCUUUUCUAUUAAAAUGAUGUACGAGGAGGAUGUGUGAAAAAAUUACAUACAAGGUGCAUCUUUAUUGAUAAUUAAAAGCUAUAACAAGAUUCUUCAUAAAGCAUCCAACCAUCUAAUAAGGUAUUAGAACAUGGUAAUUUUAACCAAAGACUGGAAAAUCUGUUGGUUGUGAUCUUAAAGUUGUUGCUAAAUUGGUGUAAAUUUUAGAUCUGGAGUGCCCUAGAAAAAAAAUGCAGUACCUUCUUUAAUAUCAUAGCAUAUUUAUUAACUUACACAAUAAUCCUCUUCGUGAUGAUUAGACACAUGUUAUACACAUGCAAGAGGAGGAUAUUUAAUUUACGCCAACUUUUGCAGGAUGCCUUCAAUGUACAAUGGUGAAUUUUCUACAGCAACCUUUGUUUUUGAAAUUCUUACAUCGAUCGCCAACAUUCGGAGUGCAUUUUUGAGCUUAAAAGCAAAAGGGAUGUCCAUACAUGGAAGCAUUCUAGCGAAGAACUGGGAUAAAGUGACAAUUGUGGCGGACCCGAAUCCGAGCUUGCGUCUAAUCUAUCAACUAUUUCUCCACCAAAUUCCUGUAUCAACACUGUUGAAUAAUAUAAUUUAUUCUAAGACCACCCGUGUACCUAUAUAUUUAUAAUUUUUUAGUUCAGUA